UUGACCUCAAAUCGGGUGAGACUACCCGCUGAACUUAAGCAUAUCUAUAAGC
This 52-nucleotide ribosomal RNA is filed under the name Russula sp. ue53. RNAcentral describes it as "partial 28S ribosomal RNA". The record is from RNAcentral. Lineage: Eukaryota; Fungi; Basidiomycota; Agaricomycetes; Russulales; Russulaceae.